GGGAAGUUGGCUCAGUGGUAGAGUGCUUGCCUUGCAUGCAUGAGGCCCUGGGUUCAUUUUCAAUUCCCCA
RNAcentral lists this transfer RNA (70 nucleotides) under Dipodomys ordii (Ord's kangaroo rat). It matches the Rfam family "tRNA", at positions 1 to 62 of the family's 71-position model. Rfam says of the family: Transfer RNA (tRNA) molecules are approximately 80 nucleotides in length. Their secondary structure includes four short double-helical elements and three loops (D, anti-codon, and T loops). Lineage: Eukaryota; Metazoa; Chordata; Mammalia; Rodentia; Heteromyidae. The record is from Rfam by way of RNAcentral.